This 376-nucleotide ribosomal RNA is filed under the name uncultured organism. Its description in RNAcentral is "bacterial LSU rRNA". It matches the Rfam family "Bacterial large subunit ribosomal RNA", at positions 2107 to 2485 of the family's 2925-position model. The record is from RNAcentral.
ACUACUGCAUGUGUCGGGCUCUUAUGCGCAGGCUAGGUGGGAGGCUUUGAUCGUAUGCUCGUGGGUUUAGUGGAGCCAUCGGUGAGAUACCACUCUGUAGGAGCUAGAAUUCUAAUGGCCUUCCUUGAAGCAGGACGCUUGACGUUUUCGGGGGGGCAUUUUGACGGGGGCGGCCCCCUCCUAAAAGGUAACGAAGGUGUGCAAAGGUUCCCUCAGGCUGGAGGGAAAUCACCCAUAAAUGGUAAAGGCAAAACGGAGCUUGACUGCAAAACCUACAAUUCAAGCAGGAGCAAAAGCCGGCUUUAUGGAUCCAACGGUUCCAUGUGAAAGGGCCGCCCCUAACCGAAUAAAAUUUACUCUAGGAUAAACAGGUUAA